This 23-nucleotide non-coding RNA is filed under the name Arabidopsis thaliana (thale cress). Lineage: Eukaryota; Viridiplantae; Streptophyta; Magnoliopsida; Brassicales; Brassicaceae. The record is from RNAcentral.
GUGUCUCAACCUUGGAAAGUGCC